Molecule: ribosomal RNA, 253 nt
Filed under: uncultured bacterium
Lineage: Bacteria
Description: partial 16S ribosomal RNA
Rfam family: Bacterial small subunit ribosomal RNA
Source: RNAcentral
GACAGAGGGUGCAAACGUUGUUCGGAAUUACUGGGCGUAAAGCGCGUGUAGGUGGCCAAGCAAGUCGGAUGUGAAAGCCCUCGGCUCAACCGGGGAAGUGCACUCGAAACUGCAUGGCUAGAGUCUCGGAGAGGAUCGUGGAAUUCUCGGUGUAGAGGUGAAAUUCGUAGAUAUCAGGAAGAACACCAACGGCGAAGGCAGCUCGCUGGGACGGUACUGACGCUGAGGAGCGAAAGCGUGGGGAGCGAACAGG